RNAcentral lists this ribosomal RNA (614 nucleotides) under Brachybacterium sp. Z0E. Its description in RNAcentral is "bacterial SSU rRNA". It matches the Rfam family "Bacterial small subunit ribosomal RNA", at positions 213 to 846 of the family's 1533-position model. Lineage: Bacteria; Bacillati; Actinomycetota; Actinomycetes; Micrococcales; Dermabacteraceae. The record is from RNAcentral.
UUUUCGUGAAGGAUGGGCUCGCGGCUAUCAGUUUGUUGGUGAGGUAGUGGCUCACCAAGGCGAUGACGGUAGCCGGCCUGAGAGGCGACCGCCACACUGGGACUGAGACACGGCCCAGACUCUACGGGAGGCAGCAGUGGGGAAUAUUGCACAAUGGCGAAAGCCUGAUGCAGCGACGCCGCGUGAGGGAUGACGGCUUCGGGUUGUAACCUCUUUCAGCAGGAAGAAGCGAAAGUGACGGUACCUGCAGAAGAAGCGCCGGCUAACUACGUGCCAGCAGCCGCGGUAAUACGUAGGGCGCAAGCGUUGUCCGGAAUUAUUGGGCGUAAAGAGCUUGUAGGUGGCUUGUCGCGUCUGCCGUGAAAACCCGAGGCUCAACCUCGGGCGUGCGGUGGGUACGGGCAGGCUAGAGUGUGGUAGGGKSUAUCUGGSSCUCCUGGUGUAGCGGUKSSAUGCGCAGAUAUCAGGAAGAACACCGAUGGCGAAGGCAGGUCUCUGGGCCAUUACUGACACUGAGAAGCGAAAGCAUGGGGAGCGAACAGGAUUAGAUACCCUGGUAGUCCAUGCCGUAAACGUUGGGCACUAGAUGUGGGGAACAUCCACGUUUUCCGCGU